RNAcentral lists this ribosomal RNA (253 nucleotides) under uncultured bacterium. Its description in RNAcentral is "partial 16S ribosomal RNA". It matches the Rfam family "Bacterial small subunit ribosomal RNA", at positions 524 to 776 of the family's 1533-position model. The record is from RNAcentral.
UACGAAGGGGGCUAGCGUUGCUCGGAAUUACUGGGCGUAAAGGGCGCGUAGGCGGCACUGUUAGUCAGGCGUGAAAGUCCUGGGCUCAACCUGGGAACUGCGCUUGAUACGGCAGAGCUAGAGGAUGGAAGAGGCUCGCGGAAUUCCCAGUGUAGAGGUGAAAUUCGUAGAUAUCUGGAGGAACACCGGUGGCGAAGGCGGCAUCCUGGACCGGCAUUGACGCUGAGGCGCGAAAGCCAGGGGAGCAAACAGG